UACGUAGGGUGCGAGCGUUGUCCGGAAUUAUUGGGCGUAAAGAGCUUGUAGGCGGUCUGUUGCGUCGGAAGUGAAAACUCAGGGCUUAACCCUGAGCCUGCUUUCGAUACGGGCAGACUUGAGGGAUGUAGGGGAGAACGGAAUUCCUGGUGGAGCGGUGGAAUGCGCAGAUAUCAGGAGGAACACCAGUGGCGAAGGCGGUUCUCUGGACAUUUCCUGACGCUGAGAAGCGAAAGCGUGGGGAGCAAACAGGCUUAGAUACCCUGGUAGUCCACGCCGUAAACGGUGGGCACUAGGUGUGGGGACCUUCCACGGUCUCCGUGCCGCAGCUAACGCAUUAAGUGCCCCGCCUGGGGAGUACGGCCGCAAGGCUAAA
Molecule: ribosomal RNA, 376 nt
Filed under: uncultured bacterium
Lineage: Bacteria
Description: bacterial SSU rRNA
Rfam family: Bacterial small subunit ribosomal RNA
Source: RNAcentral